RNAcentral lists this ribosomal RNA (435 nucleotides) under uncultured bacterium. Its description in RNAcentral is "partial 16S ribosomal RNA". It matches the Rfam family "Bacterial small subunit ribosomal RNA", at positions 29 to 507 of the family's 1533-position model. The record is from RNAcentral.
ACGCACGCUGGCGGCAUGCCUAACACCUGCAAGUCGAACGAGAUCCUUCGGGGUCUAGUGGCGCACGGGUGCGUAACGCGUGGGAAUCUGCCCUUAGGUUCGGAAUAACAGUUAGAAAUGACUGCUAAUACCGGAUGAUGACGUUAAGUCCAAAGAUUUAUCGCCUGAGGAUGAGCCCGCGUAGGAUUAGCUAGUUGGUGUGGUAAAGGCGCACCAAGGCGACGAUCCUUAGCUGGUCUGAGAGGAUGAUCAGCCACACUGGGACUGAGACACGGCCCAGACUCCUACGGGAGGCAGCAGUGGGGAAUAUUGGACAAUGGGCGCAAGCCUGAUCCAGCAAUGCCGCGUGAGUGAUGAAGGCCUUAGGGUUGUAAAGCGCUUUUACCCGGGAUGAUAAUGACAGUACCGGGAGAAUAAGCCCCGGCUAACUCCGUG